CGGCAAACGAACAACAUCACCUGGAACAAAUAUUUUUCAUCUCCAAUACGGUCCAGGAAGUACUUCCACGUCUCUUGGAAUAUAUGCUUGCGGUAGGUGCGAUAGAAAAAGGAAAUCGGCUGACGAACAUUUAUUAUUCGAGUCACGAUUUCCGGACGUUCCUUCCAUGUGAAAACAUUCCGCGAUACAAUAGAGACAAGCAGUCGUAGUCAGGACUUCUUUCAGUCGUGAAAAUGCAGUGAGAAACAAUUAUCCAUCGACCAGCAGUGUUAUAAGUACAAAUAUAUAUAUAAAAAAAAGAACAACAACAAUUAUUUUCAAAAACAUGAUGAAAUAAGGAACCAUAAUUUUGUGACGCUACUGAAGAUUUGCAAUGGCCCCACGUGGUUGUGUGUUUGAAUGUGUACGAAGGGAUAUAUAUUUGUGCGCGGUCCAAUCAUCGCAGAAUUCAGAGCAUCAUCCCCCUUUUUUGACGCACUCGCCCCGGGGAUACGCGAUGGAAGCCGACGAGGAGACGCCGCUUCCAAACCCCCCCCCCCCACCACCUCCUCCUCCUCUUCUUCCCUCAUCCACGGACGAUUCGCAGAAUUUCUAAAGGAGAGUCGUCGCGAUUCCAUCUCUUCGACGACAAAAAGGAUAUAGUCAAGUGGCCGUUCAAAGAGGGGCGUUGUCCUGCGUCCGAAAAAUCACCCCACAUAAGCAUCAUCCUCAUCUCAACUAUACAGAGGGUCAUACGCACAACAUCCGCAGUGAACCAUACUCUAAGCCAAGGGUCACCUCGCGGAUCUCCAUAAAGUCAUUCGACAGUAUCUAUAUAUAUAUAUAUAUAUAUAGAGAGAGAGAGAGAGAGAAAAAGAGAGGGAGGGAGAGAGAGAAAGAAAUUUUUUCACAAUUUACUAUAACCUUCAAGUGUUACUCACAAAAAAAUUGGGUCCGUAUUAUUUUUGACAGAAAUUUUUUUUUUUUUAAUAAUUUUUAUAUAUAAAAUCGAUGAUUUGUUUUGUAUACAAAGUUUAAAAUUCAAAAUUUUUUGUUAUUUUUUUAUUUUUUAAAUUAAAAUUUCAAAAAUAAAAAUUUUGAAUUUUCUUGAAUUGAAUGAAAAUCGAAAAUUUUUUUUGAAUUAUAUUUUUAAAAUUAAAUUAAAUUUUCGUUUAUAUUUAAGAAAUUGUGACAAAUUUUUUUUUUUUUUUUUUGACAAAAUAAUACUGAAAAACAACCCCUUGGAUUCAUUACACAGACACCAAUCCACCCUUUUUACAUAUGGCACUUUUAUUAUUUCAUUGAAAAUCACGCAUGAGAGGAAAAAUCAUUUUUUUUUUGUUUGUAAACGUGAAGUUGAAAUUUCAAGUUAUUAGUGACGUUUGAGUGACAUAUAUUUACUAAAGGCAAGUUAGAUCCAAUUUUUUAUUAAAAAAGUUUACUAAAAGAAAUACAAAAUUCUUCUUUUAUUAAAAACAAGCAGAAAUUUUUUUUUUACUAUUUAUUUAUAUAUAUAUAUAUAUAUAUAUAUAAUCAAUAUCUUAGUUUUGGUGAACGAAAUUUUGAUUUUUUGUCAAGAGACAGUUUUCUGAAAUAGAAUUUUUAAAAAUUAGACAAAUUUGAAUUAUUCUUGUCUGACUGUAACAUACUUUUGCUACUGAUACAAAAAUUUUUUUUUGAAGACUACUACUAAAAUAGUACAGUCUGACUAAAAAUUACUUUUACUACUGAUAUUGAAACUACGAGAAUUUAAGUAAUUGACUGACUGAAAAUUACUACUACUACUAAAACUGCAUAAAUAGUUUAUAAAUUUACAAGGUUUUCUGUCUGACCAAAACUUUUUUUACUACUAAAAUUUAAACUACAAUAAUAUUUACAGUUGUCUUACUAAAAAUUACUUCUACCACUGGAGAGUAGAAAAAUAAUUUUAAAAAUUACAAACUAUUCUAUCAGAACAAAACAUACUGAUACUAAAACUAAAAACAACUAAAAUAAAUUUUUUACAGGUGACUGACUAAAAAAUUAUAUUUACUACUAAAACUAAAUCUGCAUGUAUUUUGUAGAUGUCUGACCAAAACUUACUUUUACUACUAAUACUGAAAGUACAAUAAUUUUUCUAAUUGUUUGACUAAAAGUUCUUUCCAAUACUGAUACUAAAACUACAAAAAUUUUAAUAGUUGUCUGACCAAAAAUCACUUCUACUACUAAUAUUGAAAGUACAAGUAUUUUAGAAAUUGACUGACUAAAAAUUACUUUUACUACUGAUAUUGAAACUACAAUAAAUUAAGUAAUUGUCUGAUUAUAAUUACUUUCACUACUGAUACAGAAACUACAAGAAUUUCAGCAGCUGUCUGACUAAAAAAUUACUUUUACUACUGAUAUUGAAACUACAAGAUAAAAAGUAGUUGUCUGACUGAAAAUUACCAUUACUACUCAGACUAAAAAAAAUAGGUUUAAAAAUUACAAAAUAUUUUGUCUGAUAAAAACUUACUUCUACUACUAAUGAUAAAACUACAGGAAUUUUUGCAGUUGUCUGACUAAAAAUUAAUUUUACUACUGAAACUAAAUAAAUAGUUUUAAAAAUUACAAAAACUAUUCUGCCUGAUUAAAGCUUAUUUUUACUACUUAUAUUGAAACUACAUGAAUUUUUGUAUUUGUCUGUCUAAAAAUUACUUUAACUUCUGAUAUUGAAAGUACAAUAAUAAUUUUAGCAAUUGUUUAAGAA
Molecule: long non-coding RNA, 2704 nt
Organism: Leptopilina boulardi
Lineage: Eukaryota; Metazoa; Arthropoda; Insecta; Hymenoptera; Figitidae
Exons: 3
Source: RefSeq, a predicted model, not a curated record